AGAAGUGCGCUUAGUUGGGUAGGGGAGCGUUCUGUAAGCCUGCGAAGGUGUACUGUGAGGUAUGCUGGAGGUAUCAGAAGUGCGAAUGCUGACAUAAGUAACGAUAAUGCGGGUGAAAAACCCGCACGCCGGAAGACCAAGGGUUCCUGUCCAACGUUAAUCGGGGCAGGGUGAGUCGACCCCUAAGGCGAGGCUGAAAAGCGUAGUCGAUGGGAAACGGGUUAAUAUUCCCGUACUGGUGGUAACUGCGAUGGGGGAACGGAGAAGGCUAGGUUGUCCGGGCGACGGUCGUCCCGGUUCAAGCAGGUAGGCAGAGUGAUUAGGCAAAUCCGGUCACUUAAUGCUGAGAUGUGAUGACGAACCACCAAGGUGGUGAAGCAAUUGAUGCCCCGCUUCCAGGAAAAGCCUCUAAGCUUCAGGUUACCAACAAUCGUACCCCAAACCGACACAGGUGGUCAGGUAGAGAAUACUCAGGCGCUUGAGAGAACUCGGGUGAAGGAACUAGGCAAAAUGGUGCCGUAACUUCGGGAGAAGGCACGCUGGCGGUACUGGACUUGAGACUGCCUCGAAUUUUAUGUAAAUAGAAUUCGGGGCUUUCGUCUUUUUGGUCCUCGCAAAUGCUUGAACCAAAAUGAUCCAAGCACCCGCCUGUAUACUAACAGAAAAUAGCCGUGUGUCUCUGUUUAUUUUGCCAAAAUAAAGCUAAAAAGAUUUAUUAAAUCAAUGAGUUAUUUUGUUUUAUAAGUGGGGUUUAUAAUGCGUUGUUUGAUUUGUGAUCUAUUUAAAAACGUCCGUGAUAUAUAUUGAACGCAAGUGAUAUGAUUGUUUAAAGUAGGGUGCUUGUGAACACAAGGCGCAACAACAUUGGGUGAGAAAUUGUGGGGGAAAAUUCCCCCACAAAGCUAUUUAUCGCAAGAUAAAUUCGCUUGAACUAGGGUGUUACCACUGCUGAUAUUAAAAGAGCACAAUCUUUCAUGUCUCAGUAGGGUAAAACACAAAACUGUAAUACAUACAGUAAUCAGCCCAAUAAGGGCAAGCUUAGUCAUUUCUCUUGACACUCCUUGUUAAAGGAGACAGAAUCAAGUUGUUGAUGGAGACACUUUCGGGUUGUGAGGUUAAGCGAAUAAGCGUACACGGUGGAUGCCUAGGCAAUCAGAGGCGAUGAAGGACGUGCUAAUCUGCGAAAAGCGUCGGUAAGGUGAUAUGAACCGUUAUACCCGACGAUAUCCGAAUGGGGAAACCCAGUAUCCAAUGGAUACUAUCAUUAACUGAAUCCAUAGGUUAAUGAGGCGAACCGGGAGAACUGAAACAUCUCAGUACCCCGAGGAAAAGAAAUCAACCGAGAUUCCCCUAGUAGCGGCGAGCGAACGGGGAGCAGCCCAGAGUCUUAAUCAAUAGCAGUGUCAGGAGAACGGUCUGGAAAGUCCGGCAGUAAAGGGUGAUAGCCCCGUAUCUGAAGAUGCUGUUAUUGUGAACUCGACGAGUAGGGCGGGACACGUGUUAUCCUGUCUGAAUAUGGGGGGACCAUCCUCCAAGGCUAAAUACUCCUGAUUGACCGAUAGUGAACCAGUACCGUGAGGGAAAGGCGAAAAGAACCCCGGCGAGGGGAGUGAAAAAGAACCUGAAACCGUGUACGUACAAGCAGUAGGAGCCGUAUAGGGGAGCCGUAGGGAAACCGAGUCUUAACUGGGCGAAUGAGUUGCAGGGUAUAGACCCGAAACCCGGUGAUCUAUCCAUGGGCAGGUUGAAGGUUGGGUAACACUAACUGGAGGACCGAACCGACUAAUGUUGAAAAAUUAGCGGAUGACUUGUGGAUGGGGGUGAAAGGCCAAUCAAACCGGGAGAUAGCUGGUUCUCCCCGAAAGCUAUUUAGGUAGCGCCUCGUGAACUCAUCUUCGGGGGUAGAGCACUGUUUCGACUAGGGGGUCAUCCCGACUUACCAACUCGAUGCAAACUGCGAAUACCGAAGAAUGUUAUCACGGGAGACACACGGCGGGUGCUAACGUCCGUCGUGAAGAGGGAAACAACCCAGACCGCCAGCUAAGGUCCCAAAGUCAUGGUUAAGUGGGAAACGAAGUGGGAAGGCUCAGACAGCCAGGAUGUUGGCUUAGAAGCAGCCAUCAUUUAAAGAAAGCGUAAUAGCUCACUGGUCGAGUCGGCCCGCGCGGAAGAUGUAACGGGGCUAAACCAUGCACCGAAGCUGCGGCAGCGAAAUUUUCUCACGUGGUGACGGUUCCGACUGAUCCGCAAUCAGGCCAACCUUCUGGCCAACGUGCGCAUAAACCGUUUCGUUUUACCGUGGCAUUAAACAAAGCCGUUCCUCUGCUGUAUAACGCACUGGCUUCCGGCGAAAUGUUGCCAAAAGUUGAGUUAAAAUGGUAUCGCACGUCUGUUGAAGGUAAACAAGAGCACUUCUUUACCACCACACUGACUGACGCGACGAUCGUGAACAUCGAUUGCCAAAUGCCUCAUUGUCAAGAUCCGGCUAAAGCCGACUUCACGCAACUUAUCGAAGUCUCCCUCUCUUACCGCAAAAUUGACUGGGAGCACACUGUUGCUGGAACGUCUGGUGCGGAUGACUGGCGUGCGCCUCUCGAAGCGUAAUACCGUUAUGACGAGUCCUUGGGGGCUCGUCCUUAUUUUGUAUUGUUCCCUUUUCUUUAUCCAUUUUUGCAUGGAGGCAGAUUAUGCUUAGCAAAGAUCCGAAAUCAACGCCCAUUGACCCGGCAUCCGUUUUAAAAGAUGAAGCCAUCAAUCAAGUGAAAAAUAGGGUGCAAUCCAAAGUGAACGAAACGCUAUCGACACCCACGCAAAAGGUGGCCGGGAUGGCCUCAGCAGCGGCCUCGCUCACGCGAAGCUCCUGAUCGAAGCCCCAGUAAACGGCGGCCGUAACUAUAACGGUCCUAAGGUAGCGAAAUUCCUUGUCGGGUAAGUUCCGACCUGCACGAAUGGCGUAAUGAUGGCCAGGCUGUCUCCACCCGAGACUCAGUGAAAUUGAACUCGCUGUGAAGAUGCAGUGUACCCGCGGCAAGACGGAAAGACCCCGUGAACCUUUACUAUAGCUUGACACUGAACAUUGAGCCUUGAUGUGUAGGAUAGGUGGGAGGCUUUGAAGUGUGGACGCCAGUCUGCAUGGAGCCAACCUUGAAAUACCACCCUUUAACGUUUGAUGUUCUAACCUAGGCCCAUAAACUGGGUCGGGGACCGUGUCUGGUGGGUAGUUUGACUGGGGCGGUCUCCUCCUAAAGAGUAACGGAGGAGCACGAAGGUUGGCUAAGCAUGGUCGGACAUCAUGCGGUUAGUGCAAAGGCAUAAGCCAGCUUGACUGCGAGAGUGACGGCUCGAGCAGGUACGAAAGUAGGUCUUAGUGAUCCGGUGGUUCUGAAUGGAAGGGCCAUCGCUCAACGGAUAAAAGGUACUCCGGGGAUAACAGGCUGAUACCGCCCAAGAGUUCAUAUCGACGGCGGUGUUUGGCACCUCGAUGUCGGCUCAUCACAUCCUGGGGCUGAAGUAGGUCCCAAGGGUAUGGCUGUUCGCCAUUUAAAGUGGUACGCGAGCUGGGUUUAGAACGUCGUGAGACAGUUCGGUCCCUAUCUGCCGUGGGCGUUGGAAGAUUGAGAGGGGUUGCUCCUAGUACGAGAGGACCGGAGUGAACGCACCACUGGUGUUCGGGUUGUCAUGCCAAUGGCAUUGCCCGGUAGCUAAGUGCGGAAGAGAUAACCGCUGAAAGCAUCUAAGCGGGAAACUUGCCUCGAGAUGAGUCUUCCCUGUCGCUUUAAGCGACCUAAAGGAACGUUUAAGACUAAGACGUUGAUAGGCUGGGUGUGUAAGCGUAGCGAUACGUUGAGCUAACCAGUACUAAUGAACCGUGAGGCUUAACCUGACAACACCGAAUCA
RNAcentral lists this ribosomal RNA (3897 nucleotides) under Proteus mirabilis. Its description in RNAcentral is "23S ribosomal RNA". The stretch from base 1114 to 3883 matches the Rfam family "Bacterial large subunit ribosomal RNA". The record is from RNAcentral. Lineage: Bacteria; Pseudomonadati; Pseudomonadota; Gammaproteobacteria; Enterobacterales; Morganellaceae.